GUCACAAUGCAAAUUCACUUGUGUUCACCUACCCACAGGGGCCUCCAAGGAGCCACCACCCACUCCAACCCACCUCACAAAGAGGCAAGUGAAGCAGAAGGUGGAGAGCUUGACCACUCUGCUCCAGGUGAUGACUGCCGAAAUGGAAUCAUCUGAGAGAUCACCUCUUGUUAGUAACAGAAGGAUCCUUGUACAACAGGUCAGAAAAACUCCUACAUGAUCUGGAACAUUCCACAGCUCAGGAUGAGAGCCUCCUACCCACAGAGCUACUGCAGCAGGAACACUAAGUGUCAUAAGCAAGUGAGCCGCCAUGACAUCCCAUCCCCAGCACCCUUUAUGAGAACUGAGAAGGCUUAAGGAAUCUGUAGUCAACUAGAAACCCUGACAGUCUC
This is a long non-coding RNA of Onychomys torridus (southern grasshopper mouse), 392 nucleotides long. RefSeq lists it as uncharacterized. The transcript has 3 exons. NCBI's taxonomy places the organism in Eukaryota, Metazoa, Chordata, Mammalia, Rodentia, Cricetidae. The record is from RefSeq and is a predicted model, not a curated record.